RNAcentral lists this ribosomal RNA (407 nucleotides) under uncultured bacterium. RNAcentral's name for it is "partial 16S ribosomal RNA". It matches the Rfam family "Bacterial small subunit ribosomal RNA", at positions 30 to 526 of the family's 1533-position model. The record is from RNAcentral.
AUUGAACGCUGGCGGCAGGCCUAACACAUGCAAGUCGAGCGGAGUGGCGGACGGGUGAGUAAUGCCUAGGAAUCUGCCUGGUAGUGGGGGAUAACGUCCGGAAACGGGCGCUAAUCCCGCAUACUAUCAGAUGAGCCUAUGUCGGAUUAGCUAGUUGGUGGGGUAAAGGCCUACCAAGGCGACGUGCCGUAACUGUUCUGACAGGAUGAUCAGUCACACUGGAACUGAGACACGGUCCAGACCCCGACGGGAGGCAGCAGUGGGGAAUAUUGGACAAGGGGCGAAAGCCUGAUCCAGCCAUGCCGCGGGGUGGAAGAAGGUCUUCGGAUUGUAAAGCACUUUAAGUUGGGAGGCGUUACCAACAGAAUAAGCACCGGCUAACUCCGUGCCAGCAGCCGCGGUAAUAC